Molecule: RNA transcript, 2445 nt
Organism: Humulus lupulus (European hop)
Lineage: Eukaryota; Viridiplantae; Streptophyta; Magnoliopsida; Rosales; Cannabaceae
Gene name: chromatin structure-remodeling complex protein BSH-like
Exons: 5
Source: RefSeq, a predicted model, not a curated record
UACUCAUAAUCUAACUUUUUCAAAUCAAAAUCACUCCUUCCUUGUUCUGCUCUGCCUAAUCUGAAUUUCAAUUCUGAAAUAGUUGUCUUUGCCAAAAGGACUGUCAAAGACUUGAAGCUCCCUCCUGCAUUCGUUACCCAUAUUGCUUCCUCCAUUCAGAUUUCCCUUGUUUACUUUCCAUUAUCAGUCCCAGUUAGCUGACUUUAGGUCCUGUGAAGGUCGAGAUAUGUAUGCUGGCGAGAAGAUUGUUCCUAUUAAGGACAUGAACAACUUUGGGAGUGAUCCCGAAGAGUUUGCCAAAACCUUCUGCAAAGAUUUAGGUAUUCAAGACCCUGAAGUUGCUGUCCUAUUGCAAUUCGAAGUGUAGCUUCAGCAAGGGAAAGCCGAAUCAGCAAGAAGGGACACCGAACCGAUCACACACCAACCAGGUUAUUUGUAUUUUAACAGUGUAAAAGAUUUGUGAGGAAGUUAGUUAGAAUCUGUCACUAAUACAACAUGAAAUUUUUUGUUGCUUUGUAUCUAAUGAAGUUAUUUGGACAUAAAUUUAGUGUUGUUCGGUAUGUAUUCAUAUAUUACUACACAAGACCAUUGCAGAAUUUAGCCACAGCCACAGAAUUAGUUCCUCAAGUGAUCAUCUUUUUCAACAUAAUUAUUAUGUUUUUUUUCUCUCUCUCCAUUAUCCUAUUAGAAUUUAUCUAUUCUUGCAGAAAUUAUAAUUAGUUCCUCAAGUGAUCAUCUUUUUCAAAAUAAUUAGUUCCUCAAGUGAUCAUCUUUUUCAACAUAAUUAUUAUGUUUUUUUUUACUCUCUAUUCUUGUAGAAAUAAUAGUCUAUCUGACUUCCACAACAUUAAGGAGUGAAUUAAUAUUUUUAUAUGUGAGUAUAUUCAAAACAUCUCAUUAAUAAUUAAUCUGAAAUAUUAAAAAAAGAGUAUAGAGUAGCUUUAUAUAAAAGACAAUAAAGAAAAAGCUCUAUGCUCUUUUCAUGUGGGACAAAAUUGCUUUUUUACAUUUUAAAUUUUGUAUAACAAUAUAUAAAAUGCAAAACAACUUCUUGGUUGAGGAUCAAUUGUUCUUGUUCCAUAUACGAACCAGAACCAGUUGAAGCAAGAGAAGAGAGGAAUGCAUGGUGACUUAGACUUAUUGCUGCUGCAGCUGUAGCCAUGCAUAUUUCUAAAUGUUACACUCUAGUUGAAUUUGCCUCAAAACUAUAUCUGAGCCAGUCCCAGUCCGGUAUAAAUGGUAUAAUGCAUUGUUGAAAAACAUGGAGUUUUAUUCAUGUUUUCUAACCGCACUCAAGAACAAUUUUUAUUUGACCUGGCUACCAAUUCAGUUAUCACCUUAGAUUGUAUAGUGAUAAAACACACUGAACUCAAAACCAGAUUUCAAGGCUUCUGCUCUUCUGAUUAUUUAUAGAUGUACAUGGUCUGUUUUAUUAUUUGUCUGACUCCUCUUUUUAGUGUGAAACUAAUCAAUAGAGUUUUUUGGGUAAAUCUUUAUGAUAUCUACUGUGUGGUUUUUGAAAUGUUGUGUUCAUUAGGUUUGGCAGUUGACACAUAUGAUCAAUCUAAUACUCUACAUUUAAAGUCCUCAAAGAGAUGUGGAAGGUCUUAGCAAAGUUUAGCUCACACUUUGAAUAUUCAGUGUUUAGCAUUUAAACUAGUUUGGGUGAGAAUUGGUUUGAUAUUUUUAUUUGAAAUGAAUCAUUGGAUUCUUACUCCAAAACUGUAAAUUGUAUAGUCUAGAAAGAAAGGGUGUGAAUUGAUUGUGAGUGUGGCCUUUUAGGGGGACCAUCCUUGAUCCAUGGGAUUCAUCUUUUGUCCUGGUGCUGGUAGUUGCUUUCAUAUCCUCUUCAACUUCAAGGACAAAGGACACAACCUUUUUAGAACAUACCUUGGAGUUGGAGCUGAUGAGACUUCUUAUUAGGAUCCCUGCUGCUGGGCUGCUGUGGUUGAUUAUUGAAGAAAGUGCAAGCUUUCUUGAAUGGAGAUGCAAUGGUCUUUUUCCAAGAUGCCAUAUCUAUAUAUAUUUAUAGUCUUCUUCUUCUGAUAUGAAUAAUAGUCCUUACAACACUAAAACUCCACAAACUGAUCUCUCUGCCUUAUAUAUAUAUUGUGUCUGAUGAUGAUGAUGAUGUAUAUUAAUUAAUAUUAUUUAUUAGAAAAAUAAUAAAGAGAGAGAAGCAAGAUCCGUGAGAUGAGCCUUAGAUGAGAUGUUAUGAGAGAGAGAAACAUUACGAGUCCUUUAAUUUCUUAUCUGAUGGAAAGAGAAAGAGAGAGGAGAAGACCAGGCCAGGCCGCCGACUGGAGUGCAGCCAAGCACAUGCACCACGCUCCCAACCAAACACCUCCUCUCUCGCCCCCUCUACACGUGAACUCAUUUUACUUUUCUCACUACUCUCAACUUUAUUAUUAUUUAUUAUUAUUAUUAUUAUUGAGAAAAAUAUCA